RNAcentral lists this ribosomal RNA (240 nucleotides) under uncultured bacterium. RNAcentral describes it as "partial 16S ribosomal RNA". It matches the Rfam family "Bacterial small subunit ribosomal RNA", at positions 91 to 334 of the family's 1533-position model. The record is from RNAcentral.
CGGAGUGGCGAACGGGUGAGUAAUAUAUCGGAACGUACCGAGUAAUGGGGGAUAACUAAUCGAAAGAUUAGCUAAUACCGCAUAUUCUCUGAGGGGGAAAGCAGGGGACCUUCGGGCCUUGCGUUAUUCGAGCGGCCGAUAUCUGAUUAGCUAGUUGGUGGGGUAAAGGCCUACCAAGGCGACGAUCAGUAGCGGGUCUGAGAGGAUGAUCCGCCACACUGGGACUGAGACACGGCCCAG